UCUGAAAACACAAAACUAAUACCAACUUAUAAAACAUAUUUAGAUAAGAGUAAUUACUAUCACUGCUCAUAUAUGCGUGAAUAUAACAUACAGAGUUUUACUGAUAAUUUUUUAAAAAAAUUUAAUUAUUACUUUGGAGACUUAAAUAUAACUAUAAGAACAAAAAAUAAAUAUACGAUUGGCAUUUUCACUGUAUCUUAUACUUCUUCAGUUUUUUUUAUAGUAGGUGAAUUACAUAAAGAUACGAAUAGAAUAUAUAUAUAUCGUAUAUUUAAUAAUAUGUUUGUUCAUAAUUAUAAUUAUAAUAUAACUAGGUAUUAUACUUAUUGGAAUAAUAAAUUGUUUGCAUUUUCACAAUACGAAGCAGAAUGUAUUUUACUUUUUAAUAAAUAUAAUUUUUAUGAAGAACACAAAUCCACAUCAAAUAUUUUUGGAUCUUUUUUUAAAAAAAUUACAUACCAAAAUUUUAUUAGAAAAAAACUUUCAUUAAGUAACAAUAAAAUAAAUAAUAACAACUAUGAGACCGAUGAUAGUUCUAUAGAUGAUAAUAAAAUAAUAUAUAAUAAUAAAGAAAAUAGAUUAAAAAAUAAUAAAGAAUUAAUAACAUAUUUUUCGAAAAAAAAUAAUAGUUGUUUAUGUGAUGUAUAUGAUAUUAAUAAACCCAAAAGUGAAUUUAUUAUUUAUGAAUAUUUAACUUUAAGAAACAAAUUUAUGAAUAAUAUAAAAAAAAAAAAUGAAAAUUUAUAUAAACAAAUGAAUGAUUAUAAUUUUUUUAACGAUCCUUUGGAAUUAUCAUACAAUACACAAACAAUAGAAAAUGAGAAAUUAAUUAAUAUAUGUAAAGAUAUAAAAUUUAAUAAAGAACAAUUAUGUUUAUCUCAAAAAACAAGAGUGGUUUUAACUUAUGUAUAUUUAUUAUCAACUUAUCCUGAUUUUAUAUAUUAUGUUGUUACUCCUCUUAUUUUUAUAAAACCACAAAAAUAUUGUAAUCGACAUGAUAUACCAUUAGUUAUGAAUAAUUUAGUAAAAAAUAGAGAUUUUUUAAAAAAAAAUACAAAAAUAUGUAUUAAUUAUGCAUUUGGUCAUUUUAUUUUAGUAGGAAAUCAUAUAAGUAACUUAUAUGUAACAGCAAAAUUAAAUGGUAUAGUAACAAAUAUUAAUAAAAAUAGUAUGUUACUAGUUUUACCAUUAACUAAAAGAAUUAAUAUAUUGGAUACAAUAAACAAUAAUGAAUUUGAUAUGACUGAAGAAAUAGUAAAUGAGUUUUUUAUUUUAGGAAAUCCUUAUAUGCCAAUUAAUUUAAUACAUUACGAUUUUAAAAAUUAUGAUAAAAUAAAAAAUAAUUCAAACGAUAUUAUUGUUGGAGCUUUAAUAAGAUAUUCUCACCGUCUUUUUUUAAGGUACUAUAAUGUAACAAAAAAAAGAAAUAAAAUGACUAAAUAUAUGGUUAAACAUACUAAUAAAAUUGACAACUAUAAUAUGAAUGAUGAUAGUAUAAAUUACAGUGAUGGUUCUAUAUAUGGUCCAACUACUAACAAAGAUAGUAGUGACAAUAUUAGUGAUGAAAAUAAUAAUAAAAUUAAUAAAAAUGAAAAUAACGAUGUAUUUAAUGAAUGUACAGAAAACGACUUGUUCGAAUAUAAAGGAAAAAAAUUAUGUUUUUGUAACAUAUUUAAUCAUACUAGUAACAAUAAUUGUAUAUAUCCGUUUUGUGAUAGACAUAAAUCUUUUUGUUACAUUAAUGAAGAAUGUGUACAUGGUAAAUGUGUUUGUAUUAGUGGGUAUGUAAGAAAUCCGAUAAGUAAUAUAUGUGAAAAAUUUAAUGAAUGUAUUACAAAUAAAAAAUCUAUAUGUAAAGAACCUGGAACUUGUGCUUCAUUAAACAACCGUUAUGUUUGUUUAUGUCCACAUCCAUAUAUUCGAGUUUUUAAAAACUGCUUACACCCUUUAACUGCUAUACUAAUUAAACUUCAUAUUUUUAUCGAUGGACAACGUAAUAUAUCUAUAUAUGAAGAAAAUGCUUAUAAAAGAAUAACCUUUUAUACCAAAGUCUUUGGAUCUGUUUGUGAAUAUAUUAAAGCCGUUAUGGAUUACAUUGUCAAGACUGAUAUGGAAUCACGAAUAGAUGUAAAACCGAUAGAAAAAACGAAAAACACCAUCACAGCAAAUAUCAUAAUACAUCAAGGAAAUAACCCUAAUGAACUUACACCAGUAGAAAUUUUUAAUAUUUUUUUAAAACAGUUAAUUGAUUCAACAUCCCCAUUAAAUAAUGGAUUUUACUCAUAUUUUUCAAGAUAUACAUACAUAGAAUAUGUAAAAGCUUUUUCAGAAAGUGAAGAAACACCAUCGUUUUAUGAAUUGUUCUUAAAUCAUAUACCUAUGUUUUUUAUGAAGAAAAUUAAUGAAGAUUUUGGUAAAAGUGCAUUUAUGGUUGAUUUUUUACAUUUUAUUGUACUUACUUGUUUCGUUCUUUUUUUAAUUCUUUCUGUUUCGAUUUUGGUUUUUUGUGUUAUAUACUUGUUAGUAAAACUUAAAACGUUUCAUAAAAAUAUGAGAAAAAUAUAUUAACCAAGGAAGUAAACGAGAGGAGGAAAUCUUAAGGGUAAAACCGAAUAUUAAAAAAAUAAAAAAAAAAAAAAAAAAAAAAAAAAAAAAAAA
Long non-coding RNA from Piliocolobus tephrosceles (Ugandan red Colobus), 2658 nucleotides. NCBI's taxonomy places the organism in Eukaryota, Metazoa, Chordata, Mammalia, Primates, Cercopithecidae. The record is from Ensembl.